GACGAACGCUGGCGGCGUGCUUAACACAUGCAAGUCGAACGGAAAGGCCCUGCUUUUGUUGGGUGCUCGAGUGGCGAACGGGUGAGUCACACGUGAGUAACCUGCCCUUUACUUUGGGCUAACUUCAGGAAAUUGGGGCUAAUACCGGGUAGGAGUUCCUGCUGCUUGGUGGUGGUUGGAAAGUUUCGGUGGUUGGGGAUGGACUCGCGGCUUAUCAGCUUGUUGGUGGGGUAGUGGCUUACCAAGCGUUUGACGGGUAGCCGGCCUGAGAGGGUGACCGGCCAAAUGGGGACGGGGAUACGGCCCAGACUCCUACGGGAGGCAGCAGUGGGGAAUAUUGCACAAGGGGGGGAAGCCGGAUGCAGCAACGCCGCGUGCGGGAGGACGGCCUUCGGGUUGUAAACCGCUUUCGCCUGUGACGAAGCGUGAGUGACGGUAAUGGGUAAAGAAGCACCGGCUAACUACGUG
This 468-nucleotide ribosomal RNA is filed under the name uncultured bacterium. RNAcentral's name for it is "partial 16S ribosomal RNA". It matches the Rfam family "Bacterial small subunit ribosomal RNA", at positions 28 to 507 of the family's 1533-position model. The record is from RNAcentral.